RNAcentral lists this ribosomal RNA (505 nucleotides) under uncultured bacterium. RNAcentral describes it as "partial 16S ribosomal RNA". It matches the Rfam family "Bacterial small subunit ribosomal RNA", at positions 28 to 507 of the family's 1533-position model. The record is from RNAcentral.
GACGAACGCUGGCGGCGUGCCUAAUACAUGCAAGUAGAACGCACAGUUUAUACCGUAGCUUGCUACACCAUAGACUGUGAGUUGCGAACGGGUGAGUAACGCGUAGGUAACCUGCCUGGUAGCGGGGGAUAACUAUUGGAAACGAUAGCUAAUACCGCAUAAUAUUAAUUAUUGCAUGAUAAUUAAUUGAAAGGUGCAAUUGCACCACUACCAGAUGGACCUGCGUUGUAUUAGCUAGUAGGUGAGGUAACGGCUCACCUAGACGACGAUACAUAGCCGACCUGAGAGGGUGAUCGGCCACACUGGGACUGAGACACGGCCCAGACUCCUACGGGAGGCAGCAGUAGGGAAUCUUCGGCAAUGGACGAAAGUCUGACCGAGCAACGCCGCGUGAGUGAAGAAGGUUUUCGGAUCGUAAAGCUCUGUUGUAAGAGAAGAACGGGUGUGAGAGUGGAAAGUUCACACUGUGACGGUAUCUUACCAGAAAGGGACGGCUAACUACGUG